RNAcentral lists this long non-coding RNA (417 nucleotides) under Panax ginseng (ginseng). Its description in RNAcentral is "long non-coding RNA (PGIN_LNC004864)". Lineage: Eukaryota; Viridiplantae; Streptophyta; Magnoliopsida; Apiales; Araliaceae. The record is from RNAcentral.
CUUCCUAUACUUGAUACACAUCAAGUCUCUAACAGUUCUCAAUAUGGCACGCUGAGUGGUUUCCCACAAACAACCAACAAACUAGGUUCCGAGUUGCUAGUUCGUAUAUACCUCCGCUCUAUGAAGGAAUCGUUUAGCCCAGAUACCAUACAUCAACUAGUAUCGAGUACAAUGGUACCAUACUUAAACCUAACUUUUUGACCCUGCGAGAUUCUUCAACUAACUCUAUGUGGGUUAGUACUUAUCAUAAUCACUGCGGUUAUUGGUCUCAGGUAUUGCUACCUAAACUUCAUAACCAACAGCUCUGAUACCAACUGUAGCGGCCCCAAAUCCGGGUCCCGAAUCGCCGCGGAUCCGGUUCGCUAUUUCUACAACUGUUUGCGGAAGAUAUAAACAUAGAUUGUUUAUACAUUAAAC